Molecule: ribosomal RNA, 508 nt
Filed under: uncultured bacterium
Lineage: Bacteria
Description: bacterial SSU rRNA
Rfam family: Bacterial small subunit ribosomal RNA
Source: RNAcentral
UAGUCCACGCCGUAAACGAUGGUUACUAGCUGUUUGGACUAAUUAAGGUCUAAGUGGCCAAGCGAAAGUGAUAAGUAACCCACCUGGGGAGUACGUUCGCAAGAAUGAAACUCAAAGGAAUUGACGGGGGCCCGCACAAGCGGUGGAGCAUGUGGUUUAAUUCGAUGAUACGCGAGGAACCUUACCAGGGCUUAAAUGUGGUCUGACAGCUUUAGAGAUAGAGUUUUCUUCGGACAGAUCACAAGGUGCUGCAUGGUUGUCGUCAGCUCGUGCCGUGAGGUGUUAGGUUAAGUCCUGCAACGAGCGCAACCCCUAUCAUUAGUUGCUAACAGGUUAAGCUGAGGACUCUAAUGAGACUGCCGGUGCAAACCGUGAGGAAGGUGGGGAUGACGUCAAAUCAUCACGGCCCUUACGUCCUGGGCUACACACGUGCUACAAUGGCAGGUACAGAGGGCAGCUACCCCGCGAGGGGAUGCGAAUCUUCAAAGCCUGUCUCAGUUCGGAUCGC